UGAGUAACACGUGAGUUACCUGCCCCGAAGCGGGGGAUAGCCCGAAGAAAUUCGGAUUAAUACCCCAUGUGAUCGUAAGAUUAAAGGCGGCGUAAGCUGUCGCUUCGGGAUGGGCUCGCGGCCUAUCAGCUUGUUGGUGAGGUAAUGGCUCACCAAGGCGAUGACGGGUAGCUGGUCUGAGAGGAUGAUCAGUCACACUGGAACUGAGACACGGUCCAGACACCUACGGGUGGCAGCAGUCGAGAAUCAUUCGCAAUGGGCGAAAGCCUGACGGUGCGACGCCGCGUGGAGGAUGAAGGCCCUAGGGUCGUAAACUCCUGUCAUCAGGGAGUAAGGGCUCAUAUAGUAACUGAUAUGGGUCUUGAUAGUACCUGAAGAGGAAGGGACGGCAAACUUCGUGCCAGCAGCCGCGGUAAUACGAAGGUCCCAAGCGUUGUUCGGAUUUACUGGGCGUAAAGAGUCUGUAGGCGGUGGGGUAAGUCAGAUGUGAAAUCCCGGGGCUCAACCCCGGAACUGCAUCCGAUACUGCCUUACUUGAGGGUCGGAGGGGAGUCUGGAAUUCUCGGUGUAGCAGUGAAAUGCGUAGAUAUCGAGAGGAACACUAGUGGCGAAGGCGAGACUCUGGACGACAGCUGACGCUGAGAGACGAAGGCCAGGGGAGCGAAAAGGAUUAGAUACCCUUGUAGUCCUGGCAGUAAACGGUGCACGC
This 709-nucleotide ribosomal RNA is filed under the name uncultured bacterium. RNAcentral's name for it is "bacterial SSU rRNA". It matches the Rfam family "Bacterial small subunit ribosomal RNA", at positions 107 to 816 of the family's 1533-position model. The record is from RNAcentral.